Non-coding RNA from Callorhinchus milii (elephant shark), 1302 nucleotides. The record is from the annotation of a RefSeq genome assembly. NCBI's taxonomy places the organism in Eukaryota, Metazoa, Chordata, Chondrichthyes, Chimaeriformes, Callorhinchidae.
AUAUCAAAUGCAAGGAUUAUUAUUUAUUAUUACUGUACCCAUCUGCGCUAAACGAUGGGGAGAUAUGGUGAGUGGGUCAACAUUCUCGUUAUUAAAAUGUCGUGAGCAAAGAAAAAAAAUGCUGACAAAGUGGAUCGCCCCACUUAGGAGAAAACUACAACUCUAACUUUGUAAUUGACUUAAAAUAACUACUCAAGCGACCCAUCUCCGCAAUGUCUACCUGGGAGAACGCCUUAUGUGGGAAUGAAGACAGGUCACCAGAAACGCCUAAAAUACAAGUUUUCCGCGAGAAUGACAAGAGCGACACUGAAUUUCUGCUCGUCUGCCUGAUCACUGGCUUUUACCCCGAUGUUAUCAAAGUUUACUGGAAACCCGAUGGCGAGCAGAGUAAAUGGGAAACAGAUCCCGUUGAGAAGGAGAAUGGUGAAACAUCUUAUGUGAUUAGCCGUUUUAAUGUCACACAACUUCAGUGGAAAAAUUCUAAAGUCAUAUGCGGGGUGCAACAUGAAUCUUCAAAAGAUAACAUAGAAGUCCACGCCAACGGGAAGAAGACAUCUCCCAAAGAAAGUGAACCCUCAACUAAUGCAAAGUCUAAAAGCUGUAAUGGGACACGGAAUGAAGACAAAGACGACCUAACUAUAAACUCAUUCCAACUGACCACCUUCACUUACACCCUACUGCUGAUGAAAAGCGUGGUGUAUUGUGGCAUUGUUGGCUUCAUCUUUUACAGAAUGGAGUACAAGGAGCAGCAAAAGCCACUUUAAAUGUCUUACAUAUACAGAAAAUAUCUUACUUAUUACUGUCCAUAAUGCAGUUUGCUGAUUGCAAUGUGACAUUUAACCUGUUUUUGAUGUAUCAAGAAGUCCUAUAUUUUUAAUACAUUUCUACUGAAUGUAAUAUUUUGGUUUAAUUUUAAUAGAAAACUUAUAUUUCUAUUCUUUAGACCUAUUCAUACACUGCUAUUCCAAAUGGUUUUGCAACGCUUACUAUUACUUGCUUAUGAGUAUACAAACGGAUAAGUUAAUGUUUACUGAAAUAUAUUUUGAAAUGAUUAUGUUGGACAGCAAAUUAAAAUUUAAAGCUGAAUUGAUUCAAGCAUAAUGGAAUACAUUUUGUUAAUAUUGUUGUGAAUUGAGAUAUAUUUUCAUUUGCAUCAGUUUUAAGUUAAUUAAUAAUAUGUGUGCGUUCAACUGUAUUCUGUCUUUCACAAACUAUUUGAUAUUUUAUUCUUGUUUGCCAUUUUCUGCUUUUAAAGUUGCUGUAUGUCAGACUGUUAAUAUUAAAAACCUGUUAUUGAUUUGA